RNAcentral lists this small RNA (285 nucleotides) under Oceanimonas sp. GK1. RNAcentral describes it as "5' ureB small RNA". It matches the Rfam family "5' ureB small RNA". Lineage: Bacteria; Pseudomonadati; Pseudomonadota; Gammaproteobacteria; Aeromonadales; Aeromonadaceae. The record is from Rfam by way of RNAcentral.
CUCUUCCGCCUGCUGGGGACAGAUGUAGUGAAUGUGGGUGUCCACGCCGCCGGCGGUGAGAAUAUGCCCUUCGCCGGCAAUCACCUCAGUGCCCGGCCCCACAUUGAUGGUGACACCGUCCUGAAUGUCGGGGUUGCCGGCCUUGCCAAUGGCGUGAAUGCGGCCGGCCUUCAGCGCCACGUCGGCCUUGACGAUGCCCCAGUGAUCCACGAUCAGCGCAUUGGUGAUGACGGUAUCCACGCUGUCGGCGCGCACCGCCUGACUCUGCCCCAUGCCGUCGCGGAU